RNAcentral lists this ribosomal RNA (652 nucleotides) under Clostridioides difficile. Its description in RNAcentral is "bacterial SSU rRNA". It matches the Rfam family "Bacterial small subunit ribosomal RNA", at positions 1 to 644 of the family's 1533-position model. Lineage: Bacteria; Bacillati; Bacillota; Clostridia; Peptostreptococcales; Peptostreptococcaceae. The record is from RNAcentral.
AAAUUGAAGAGUUUGAUCAUGGCUCAGAUUGAACGCUGGCGGCAGGCCUAACACAUGCAAGUCGAGCGGUAGCACAGAGAGCUUGCUCUCGGGUGACGAGCGGCGGACGGGUGAGUAAUGUCUGGGAAACUGCCUGAUGGAGGGGGAUAACUACUGGAAACGGUAGCUAAUACCGCAUAACGUCGCAAGACCAAAGUGGGGGACCUUCGGGCCUCAUGCCAUCAGAUGUGCCCAGAUGGGAUUAGCUAGUAGGUGGGGUAAUGGCUCACCUAGGCGACGAUCCCUAGCUGGUCUGAGAGGAUGACCAGCCACACUGGAACUGAGACACGGUCCAGACUCCUACGGGAGGCAGCAGUGGGGAAUAUUGCACAAUGGGCGCAAGCCUGAUGCAGCCAUGCCGCGUGUAUGAAGAAGGCCUUCGGGUUGUAAAGUACUUUCAGCGAGGAGGAAGGCAUUAAGGUUAAUAACCUUAGUGAUUGACGUUACUCGCAGAAGAAGCACCGGCUAACUCCGUGCCAGCAGCCGCGGUAAUACGGAGGGUGCAAGCGUUAAUCGGAAUUACUGGGCGUAAAGCGCACGCAGGCGGUCUGUCAAGUCGGAUGUGAAAUCCCCGGGCUCAACCUGGGAACUGCAUUCGAAACUGGCAGGCUAG